UACGUAGGUGGCUAGCGUUGUCCGGAAUCAUUGGGCGUAAAGCGCGUGUAGGCGGUCCGGUAAGUCCGCUGUGAAAGUCGGGGGCUCAACCCUCGGAUGCCGGUGGAUACUGUCGGGCUUGAGUACGGAAGAGGCGAGUGGAAUUCCUGGUGUAGCGGUGAAAUGCGCAGAUAUCAGGAGGAACACCAAUUGCGAAGGCAGCUCGCUGGGACGUUACUGGCGCUGAGACGCGAAAGCGUGGGGAGCAAACAGG
This 253-nucleotide ribosomal RNA is filed under the name uncultured bacterium. Its description in RNAcentral is "partial 16S ribosomal RNA". It matches the Rfam family "Bacterial small subunit ribosomal RNA", at positions 524 to 776 of the family's 1533-position model. The record is from RNAcentral.